This is a long non-coding RNA of Portunus trituberculatus (swimming crab), 996 nucleotides long. RefSeq lists it as uncharacterized. The transcript has 2 exons. The record is from RefSeq and is a predicted model, not a curated record. Lineage: Eukaryota; Metazoa; Arthropoda; Malacostraca; Decapoda; Portunidae.
AAUUUGAAUCCCACCACGUGCCGCCUUGAAACUUUGUCAUUUGUCGAGUGGUUAAAGUUACCUAUAUGUCACCAUAAUACUCAGGUUCUAGGUGGAGGUGUAAUUGCUUUACACCAAAGAUUGCCUACACCGCUAAUGGGUGGAAGGUGGAGAGCGCUUCCUAUACUCUUGAAGGAGACCUACAGGCUCUAAAGGCCAUUAUAUGAAAGAAGAAAAUAAUAAUUCGAAAAUGCAAGUCCAAUCCAUCGGAUAAUCAGAAAAUCAGAAUUCACAAUCGGACCACCCGCCUCUGGAGACGACUCAUAACACCUGCUUUCGUGGAAUCUGUUCCAGCUACAGAUGACAUGAAAUUUCCUGUUUACUGUAGAAUACAAAUAAAGGACAGACAAAGGAUGUUCAGUAUAGCAGAAGAUAUUUCGAGGAUGUUCAUGUAGAAAGGUUUAGUGUAUUAAUCUCAAUUUGAUGCAUAUAUGCUCUUCCUAGGCUGAUUCUGGCGGUCCACUACUUUGCCAGGAAAAACACAACGAGACCUACGUGGCUGGCGUGGUGUCUUGGGCCGACCAGUGCGGUCUUCCAGAUAUUCCUGGUGUGUACACUGAGGUGAGUUACUUUGUUGACUGGAUCAAUGAGGUCAGGAAUCAGGAGUCGUUGCAACACUGACCCAUGCGACCCAUCACGGCAAGGAAGGAAAACACACAGACGACCCUGGAAUGCAAAACACCGCCACCCUCAAUGCCAAGAUCAGCAUCCUCCAUUGGCAAAGACACCAUGGAGGACCACUCCUCAAACUACUUCACAAAUCACAUCACAAUACACUCUUUCAACACGUGCCUGCAUGUGUCAGUCGCUUUUAAGUAUUGGAACCUUUAAUUGCUUGUACAGUGAAUGUCUCAGGCUUGGAGUCUUAGUGUUUCUUCUGAGACAUUUACAAAACUAAUACACUGACCACAAUCCUACGGUAUGAUAUAGACGUGAAAUCAAGUCACACCAUAACCA